Molecule: long non-coding RNA, 3124 nt
Organism: Homo sapiens (human)
Lineage: Eukaryota; Metazoa; Chordata; Mammalia; Primates; Hominidae
Exons: 3
Source: RefSeq, a predicted model, not a curated record
CUCAAGGCAAAAGCUCUGUAUUUCCCCAGGCUCCGACACGUGUCAUGGCCAGAAGGAGGGAUGCUGGGUUGGGUCCUGGAGCUCCCUCUGCGAGAGAAGUUAAGAAAGUUUACAGCUUUGUCUUGAGACAUUUGCUGAAGUCAUGUUUCAAGAGGCAAAUCACAUCUGCUGCAACAUGAACCGACCACCAGGCAGUAAGAUGCACAGGUUCUCAGGCUCUGAGACCCUAUGGGAAAUUGCCUAUAGGGCCCCACAGCCUGGGAAACUGGCCUAGAGGUUUUAUGAAGUGACUAAUAUCCUACAGGGAACAGCCGGGUCCCAGGACUUGCAUCAUGGUCAGCAGACCGGCCCCUCUCUGAGCAACACCCUUGGGAUUAUUCACGUCCAUCUGGAAGAAACUAGUCUCUGAGUUUGAUUCAGGACUUCUUUCUCUUUCCCACCUCUUACCCCAGCCAUGUAAUUUGCACAUCGUUUUAUAUUUUCUAUUGGGAAAUCACAAAGCAUCUAAAAGGCAAGCAGUGGUUCUCAAGCUGCAGCCAAAGAAACACCAGAGGCUUUCGCACAAUCCCUUUUUCCUGAAGCCAACUCUGCUGAGGAUGUGAUGUGGAUACGGAUGUCCGGGAAGCUGGUGUCGGUGGCGGGCUGUGUUCUCAGGCCCAGGGACGCUGUGGCAGGGACUGGAUGGGAAUGCAGCAGGGCCGUGUAUUAGCUGUGCAGCCUUGGGAAAAGUACUUCAUUGUUCUGAGCCUCAUUUUCUUAUUUGUCUGUUCUGAUUGCCUUUCAGUGACACCAUAGAGAUUAUUUUUCAGCUUGCUCCUCUGUGAGGAUCAAAUCUAUUGAAGUAUCUAAAGUACCUGGCACAGGGUCCUGCACAUACACCUCAUUUAAAUGAUCAAGUACAUACUAAGCAGCUCAUGUUCAAUUCUGAAAACUGUCCUGGGCCUGGGCCAUGUGUUCGGAGUGUGGAGAAGAGGGAGCCAGUAUUCCCCUCCCCUGGUCAGGGGGCCUGGGUCUGCGCCAGAGAACAGAAGGGCCGGCAGCCAGGCCUCUGUCCCCAAGAGCUGGGGCGCACAUUAAAGCCUGUCAUGGCUCAGGAACUGGGCCCGCUGCGCUGGGCAUCUGGAUGUUCUUAGAUCUCUGUCUGGAUUCCUUCUGCUUGUCUUGUGGAAUUACUUAUCAGCAGCAGGCAGACCAGACCCUGGGCUUUCCUCCCCACAUGGCCCAGCCCCAGGCCUUCCUAUCCGUAAACACUAGUGCAGGGGAUGGGGGAGUUGCUUCAGGACCUGUGGAUGAGGCUUCCCUGUGUGCUCCUCGGCCCCCUACGGCAGCUGCUGCUGUCUCUGUACAAAAGCAGGACCUCCAGCCUGUGCCCAGCUGCCCUCAGCAACCUGCAUCUUCAGAUGAGAGAUGUGUAGGAAUCAGAAGGGAAUUUCAAAAUUAUUUGAAAAGUGUGACUGUUGAGGGCUGUCACUUGUAUCUACUCCCUGGACCAUUUUUCCCCCACAAUACUCCUGUUAUCACCCCCUUCCCUCCAGGGUUGAUUCCACUUUUCUUUGGUUAGACCCAUGGUGACAUCCCUUUGCGCUUGUGAAUCCGAGGGUGGAGGCGGGUUGGUGUUGGAAACCAUGCCCGGCCUUUGCAGUUCUGUCCAAUCAGCAAUUCUAGGCAGGAAUUUCAGGGAUGCAGGGAGGGAAUUACCCCUGAAUAGGAAACUUCUGGAGAUAGAGGCCUUUGGGCAACCCUCGGAUCCCUCUGAAAUUAGCAUGUUGAUGCUUGGUCCUCGUCUUGUUUUGCUAUUCUUGGUGGCAGGUGAUGCCAUCAGUCUCGCUCUCUUGCUGUGCUUCCUCAGUGGGCCUUUGGACUGCCACUCUCCCUGGCUCUCCCUCCUGCUUCUCUGGUCCCUACUCAGCCCCUUCUGCUGGUUCUCGGUCUUCUCCUCAAUCUCUUAGCUUUGGGGUGUGCUUGGUUCUCUGUCCUUUAUUCUCUUCUCCUCCAGUCUGUGGGCUUCAGAAGGCAUCUAUGUGCCAGUAACUCCACAUUGUAACUCCAGCCCCUGUAACUCCACUCCCUCUGACUCCACACACAGGGAACUCACAGGACAGUCAUCUCGGAAUUCACACGGCCACAGCUGAACGCCUGGUCUCCGCCACACAGCGGCUCAUUACAGUCCUCUCCUGCUCUGCAAUUUCCCUUCCAGGCUCCCAGUUUCUGAGGCCAACGCCCCUGCGGUGGUGCUCCACACCUCUCUGUUUCUCACAACUCACAUUCGUCAGCGAAGCCUGUUGGAUCUGCUUACAACUCUCUGGGGCAGCCAGCGGCUUCUGGCUCCUCAUGGCCCCCCUGCCAGGAUGAGCCCCGGCUCUGCCUCCCUGGGAGUUCUGCAGUGGCUCUGUCGCCCUUCUCAAUACCUUCUUGAUGCUAUUCCUGCUUUCCUGUCAGCUGCGUGUCCUCCAAAGAAGCCAGAGCAGAGAGACCAUGAUUCUCUUCUUUCCUCCCCGUCUUCAAAUCUUUUCUCAAAUACCAGCUCUUCAAUAUGCCUGCCUUGACCACUCUGUGAGGUGGCAGCAUGCUCCUCCGCCCCUCCCAACUCCCAUCUGCCCAACUCCAGGACCCUACUCAAUGCCCAUUGCAGUUUCUUUUGCUCAUGGUUUGUCGUCUGUCUUCCCUCACCAGGUCGCAAGCUCUACUUUGAGUCUCAAGAGCCUUGUGACACAUGGCAGGUGCUCUGGAGUGGACACAGCACUGCCACUUUUGACAGCUGUCCCCUUUGUCACCCUCAGGUUGUGACCCAAAUGUCCCUUCCUCAAGGACGGUCCUGGGCAGAGCCGGCCCCCCCUCUGCCACCCUACUGCUCUGUCCCAGCACCAUCUUUCAGAGGUCGUCAUCAGCACUUGUGAAUGCACAUUUGCCUCAUGCUCACGUGUUUAUUGUCCGUCUCCUACACCCGCACCCCCAGUCACAGUGUUUACUUCAUUCUCUAGGGUCUUCCUAGUGCUUGGCAUAGACCUGCACGGAAUAGACAUGAAUUAAGUAAAUAUUUGUUCACUAACUGGGAAGCACUUUAUAUAUACUCUUGUAUUUGAUGAUCACAGCCAUCCUGUAAAAUGAGUAUUAUUUAAAUGCC